CAGGAAAUGAGAAAAAAAAAAAAAAAGACCCUCAUUCAUGGAGACCACAGGAGAAGACAGAACAUCCCAUCCCUCAUGUGGACACUUCCACCGGUUGCUAAAACGGAUCCUUGGACGCUUUUGAGCUUCUUGAAGAAUCCAAAUAAGGACGUAGGGUGACCAAGGACAAACAAACACUGUGGCGUUUAGAAAUGAAGACCAAGGAAUGGGAGGGAAUGUGUAUGCGGCUAUUUAAUAAAGUUUGGAUCACAAAUUCAGCUUCCUUUCUUUUCUGCCAGCAUGUGGCAAUGGAUGAAAAGAGAAAGGGCAGCGAGUGCCAGGAGAAAGUUCUCCCCAAACUGAACCUCGGGAACAGCCCCGAAGGUGUAUUCUCCAACUGGGAUGGUCGGUACAAGGGUGAGCCCACACCUCCUUAUGAAACGGAAGGCCCGUGGGAAGGAUCAAGUACUUUUCAGUAAAGAGCUUCACAGUUAAUGCUGUGAGCAGCAGCAAGCUUUGGCACAGACACACGAGCCAGAUGAGGACCCCAGUGGCAUCGUCAAGGGUCUCUACCAUACCAAGGGCUCACCGAUUGGGUAGACCAGAAGGUCAGUAAGCUCCAAGGUCCUCCUAUCUCCCCUACAUCUGACUUUUUAACUGUAUUCUGGGUAUCAGAAGUCAGGUUGUCCUCUGCCCUGCAUAGAGAAAACUGACAAGUGAACCAUCUCUUCAGCCCCAGGAAAAACUGAGCUAAACUAAGUAACUGUUACCCUUAGAGAUUAUGAUUGAAAUUUCAUCUUGAGUCAGGAAACAUUGUGGCUUAGCAAGGAUUGAGGCCAGCUCCUUGGCCCACAGGAGGGCAAGAGUUGCUCUUUGCUGGUUGCUGCAACCACGGAACAGGGCUCUAGAGCUACCAAAUGUGACUUCUCAAGAGAAUAGGGACACAAUUUUUGAAUAAAAUUAAGUUAAUUUUACAAUUUUUUUGGUAUACAAAUAUUAAUGCCGGGUGUUGAGGCCAAGCAGAUGGCACUGCUGGCCAUGCCCAGGCUGUGGGCAGCCCCUGGAUGGUCCCUGACCUGCCACCCUACUGAGUUAGCAAGGGUCAUUUGUGACAACAUUGGCUCUUUUUAUCAGACAUUCAAGCUCUAGCAGGCUGAUUAUGUGUGUAAUGUUUUCUUAGUUUUAUGACUCAGCAUCUUUCUCAUCAGCCUGAUAGGGAGCCUUCAAAAGACUCAAAAAGUGGCCCCUUGGGUAAACUUAAUGAGGAAAAAACACAGUGGAAUUCUUUUUUGACAGCGUUCUUAAUAACAUGAUUUUAUAUUUUUCUGUCCCACACGUAUCUCAUCACCCUCUUUGACUAAUAAAAAGAUAAAGAAAAUGGAAUGAAAACAAUCAACUUCCUCUGGUUAUUUUACCAUGUCUGACCUGAUUUGUGGAGGAUAAUGAUUCAAAGCGCUAAGAUAAUCAGGCGGGCAACAAAUUAAUUAACUUGAUAACAAUAAUCAAGCUCUGGGUAGGAUAUAUUGAUCACCAUCUGGAAGAAGGCAUGGAAAAAAAAAAAGAAUGAGAAAUUUGAUGAGGACCUGAUGGAAGAGACCAAGAGUCAAAUCGAUGAAGGCAAUCAUGGGGAUUACCAAAGGCCAAAGCAAUGAGAAGACGAUGAACUGUGGGAGAAAAACUCAGAAAUGAAAACCUAGCUAAGCUGGGGGAAACUGCAGUAAAUGGAAAGGUCUACCUAUCGUCAAAGACAAUCACCAUACAUAAAGAUGUAUGCAUUUAAGAGUUAGAAAACCAAGGACUGCAUAAGACAGCCCAAGGGGAAGAGGAAGCAGGACCGUUGAUCUUGACCUUCCCAACCUCUGAACUACAAAACCAACCUUCACCAUUUAUUAGUCACCUCCUCUGAGAGGCCCAAAUGAGUAGAGACCAAUAUUACAAUGAGCCCAGAUUUUGUUGUAGACAGGGUUUCAUGCAACAAAGCCCCAAAUGACCUUGAACUUCUGAGCCACCUGCUCCUUCCUCCUGAGUGCGGGGACUUCAGGCUUUGUCUCUGUGAUGCUCUCCAUUGACUGAGCAGAAUCUCCAGCCCAUGACCGCACCUUCCUGUGAAGUAACAGCGAGCUCCUUUGUUAAGCAUCAUUUAAGCAU
This 2127-nucleotide long non-coding RNA is filed under the name Mus pahari (shrew mouse). RNAcentral describes it as "lncRNA (MGP_PahariEiJ_G0005247.1)". Lineage: Eukaryota; Metazoa; Chordata; Mammalia; Rodentia; Muridae. The record is from RNAcentral.